CAAGUUCUCCAGUGAAACCACUUUAUCUGCCACGUCUUUCAAUGUUUGCUCAGAGGCUUUAAGAAGCUGAAACAGGCGCUCGUUGUUUGCUCAGUUAGUUCAUGUUAAUGCAGUGACAGAAGCAGCAGCAGCAGGAAAAGAAAAGCUCUUCCCCAGGGAUCCAACCCUCAGCUGCACUCUGGAUCAUGGUAGCAGUCGGAGAGCAGGUCGUCACAUCGUGGUUCUUGUCGUCAGGGGUCGCCGGUUUCUUCGUUAUCCUGCUCCUCUCCAUCUUCCUCACAGCUUUGUGCUCCUGCAGCGACUGCAGGGGUUCCUUUCAGUUGAAAGAGUCAGAAGCUGACAAGAAGGAUUCCGCUCUCAUCAGUGUGGUGAAACUAGAGGAGACCAGAGAGAAUCCAAUGAUGAGCCAGAUCCAGAACACUGAGAAAGAUCCCAGUAAGAAGAUGGAAAGCCCCAUCCACAUCAUUCCCUGGAGGAGUCAUCUGAAGGAUCCUCCAUGCUCAGAUAUCUUCUCCUUCUCAGGCCCUGCCCCCAAUGAGUACGCCUAUGCAGGUAGGCGGGGCUUCAUCAGCAGCGGUCUUGAUGCAUCAUCGCCUCCAACCGCUGAUGGCGAGCGUGACAUCAACGACCACAACAGAAAUUCUAUUUUCGCAGCUUAUGCUCGAGCUAGUCAGAGGAAUGCCCCGCCUCCCUCACCUGUCCAAUCACCUGCAGAGGUGAAAGAGGGGGCGGAGCCAGGUCCCUCUCUGUGUGAGGUUAAAUCUGACACAGGCAGAUGACUGACAAAUUGAAGACUAAACCUUUGAAACUACAGAAGGAGCAUGAGACAAGUUGGAGGAGAAAAACUACAGAAGAAGAAGGAGAGGGACUGCAGCUUUAAUUUGUGUCUUUACAAGAAUCCAAUUUUAAAAAGUAGCUUGUUUUCCAUAAAAACAUGCAGAUGAUCAUUAAUUCAUCACAGGGUGCACACACAGAUCUGCGUCUCAAUGGGAUUAAACCCAGAUUAAUUUAUCCCAACAGAAGGAAUUUGAAAAAACAACAAACAUUUUUUUUUCUUCGUCUAAACAUUGUAAGUUUUAAUUGUAUUUUUAUGAAAUAAUAGUGUAAAAAGACUUGAUAAGAGUUCAUUUUUAAUUGCAUGUGCAUUAACAGAGAAUAAGGUGAUGGGUGUGAAAUCAAUGGAUGGAUUCAAAGGAAAAACAAAGUCCAAUCUUAAAUUGGAACAAUAUUUCCAACAAUUAAACAUGUGGAAAACAAGUUGUGAGGAGUUCCUUGUGCUUUGACAGGAUUAAUCCACACUGUAUUACAUUUAAGACCUUUCAAAUAUCAAAGAAAAGAGAGCAAAUAAAUGAAUUGUAAACUAGUAUAUUUUUCCUCA
Molecule: long non-coding RNA, 1378 nt
Organism: Gouania willdenowi (blunt-snouted clingfish)
Lineage: Eukaryota; Metazoa; Chordata; Actinopteri; Blenniiformes; Gobiesocidae
Source: Ensembl